UCAGUCGACUCCUACGGGGAGGCAGCAGUGGGGGAAUAGUUGCACAAUGGGCGCAAGCCUGAUGCAGCCAUGCCGCGUGUGUGAAGAAGGACCUUCGGGUUGUAAAGCACUUUCAGUCGUGAGGAAGGUAGUGUAGUUAAUAGCUGCAUUAUUUGACGUUAGCGACAGAAGAAGCACCGGCUAACUCCGUGCCAGCAGCCGCGGUAAUACGGAGGGUGCGAGCGUUAAUCGGAAUUACUGGGCGUAAAGCGCAUGCAGGUGGUUUGUUAAGUCAGAUGUGAAAGCCCGGGGCUCAACCUCGGAAUUGCAUUUGAAACUGGCAGACUAGAGUACUGUAGAGGGGGGUAGGAAUUUCAGGUGUAGCGGUGAAAUGCGUAGAGAUCUGAAGGAAUACCGGUGGCGAAGGCGGCCCCCUGGACAGAUACUGACACUCAGAUGCGAAAGCGUGGGGAGCAAACAGGAUUAGAUACCCUGGUAG
RNAcentral lists this ribosomal RNA (478 nucleotides) under uncultured bacterium. Its description in RNAcentral is "bacterial SSU rRNA". It matches the Rfam family "Bacterial small subunit ribosomal RNA", at positions 328 to 793 of the family's 1533-position model. The record is from RNAcentral.